AUGCUUAUUCAUAUUCAACUCUUCGGUACAGGAAAAAAGGUUUCAGCAGGAGCAAUAGCAGGAAGUGUUGUGGCUGGUGUAGUGGCACCAGUCUUGGGUGUCUUGUUAUUCUUGUUUUAUAGGCGAAGAAAGGCGAAACAGAAUGCACUGCGGCUAGGUAACCUUGCAACUGAGACCAGUACAAUAUUAAUGCAAAAGGUGACAUCAUCGACCACUCAAGCUGACGUAGCUUCAUUAGCUGCUGGCAUUACAGUUGACAAAUCAGUCAAGUUCACAUACCAAGAACUUUUUAAUGCUACAGAAGGCUUCAACAUAACUCAUAAAAUUGGACAAGGUGGCUUUGGUGCUGUUUAUUAUGCUGAGCUUGUAGGCGAGAAAGCCGCUAUAAAGAAAAUGGACAUGCAGGCUACUCAAGAGUUUCUUGCCGAAUUAAAGGUUUUGACACAUGUUCACCACCUAAAUCUGGUGCGCUUGAUUGGUUAUUGCACAGAGAGUUCUUUGUUCCUUGUCUACGAAUUUGUCGAGAAUGGCAACUUAAGCCAGCAUUUGCGUGGAACUGGUUACGAGCCUCUUUCUUGGGCUGAAAGAGUUCGGAUUGCGCUAGAUUCAGCAAGAGGUCUUGAGUACAUUCAUGAGCAUACCGUUCCAGUCUACAUACAUCGGGACAUCAAAUCCGCAAACAUCUUGAUAGACAAGAACACCCGUGCAAAGGUUGCAGAUUUUGGUCUGACCAAGCUUACAGAAGUUGGUGGUGCAUCUUUGCAAACACGUGUUGUUGGUACAUUCGGUUACAUGCCUCCAGAAUACGUUUGA
RNAcentral lists this ribosomal RNA (813 nucleotides) under Triticum aestivum (bread wheat). Its description in RNAcentral is "partial small subunit ribosomal RNA". Lineage: Eukaryota; Viridiplantae; Streptophyta; Magnoliopsida; Poales; Poaceae. The record is from RNAcentral.